UAUGGUUGCCUUAAUGGCUUUCGCCAAAAGCGAAAGGGAAAACGGUGUGAAUCCGUUACUGUUACCUCAACUGUAUUUGCCGACGAAGAAGGCAUAUCGCCACUGUCGUUAUGAUGGGAAGGCGCCUUCGGAGAAUGAAGCAUAAGUCAGGAUAAUUUCCGUAAG
Molecule: non-coding RNA, 165 nt
Filed under: pig gut metagenome
Source: RNAcentral